This 2926-nucleotide ribosomal RNA is filed under the name Escherichia coli. RNAcentral describes it as "bacterial LSU rRNA". It matches the Rfam family "Bacterial large subunit ribosomal RNA". RNAcentral also lists the same sequence under 1 other name. Lineage: Bacteria; Pseudomonadati; Pseudomonadota; Gammaproteobacteria; Enterobacterales; Enterobacteriaceae. The record is from RNAcentral.
GGGUUGUGAGGUUAAGCGACUAAGCGUACACGGUGGAUGCCCUGGCAGUCAGAGGCGAUGAAGGACGUGCUAAUCUGCGAUAAGCGUCGGUGAGGUGAUAUGAACCGUUAUAACCGGCGAUUUCCGAAUGGGGAAACCCAGUGUGUUUCGACACACUAUCAUUAACUGAAUCCAUAGGUUAAUGAGGCGAACCGGGGGAACUGAAACAUCUAAGUACCCCGAGGAAAAGAAAUCAACCGAGAUUCCCCCAGUAGCGGCGAGCGAACGGGGAGGAGCCCAGAGCCUGAAUCAGUGUGUGUGUUAGUGGAAGCGUCUGGAAAGGCGCGCGAUACAGGGUGACAGCCCCGUACACAAAAAUGCACAUAUUGUGAGCUCGAUGAGUAGGGCGGGACACGUGGUAUCCUGUCUGAAUAUGGGGGGACCAUCCUCCAAGGCUAAAUACUCCUGACUGACCGAUAGUGAACCAGUACCGUGAGGGAAAGGCGAAAAGAACCCCGGCGAGGGGAGUGAAAAAGAACCUGAAACCGUGUACGUACAAGCAGUGGGAGCCUCUUAAUGGGGUGACUGCGUACCUUUUGUAUAAUGGGUCAGCGACUUAUAUUCUGUAGCAAGGUUAACCGAAUAGGGGAGCCGAAGGGAAACCGAGUCUUAACUGGGCGUUAAGUUGCAGGGUAUAGACCCGAAACCCGGUGAUCUAGCCAUGGGCAGGUUGAAGGUUGGGUAACACUAACUGGAGGACCGAACCGACUAAUGUUGAAAAAUUAGCGGAUGACUUGUGGCUGGGGGUGAAAGGCCAAUCAAACCGGGAGAUAGCUGGUUCUCCCCGAAAGCUAUUUAGGUAGCGCCUCGUGAAUUCAUCUCCGGGGGUAGAGCACUGUUUCGGCAAGGGGGUCAUCCCGACUUACCAACCCGAUGCAAACUGCGAAUACCGGAGAAUGUUAUCACGGGAGACACACGGCGGGUGCUAACGUCCGUCGUGAAGAGGGAAACAACCCAGACCGCCAGCUAAGGUCCCAAAGUCAUGGUUAAGUGGGAAACGAUGUGGGAAGGCCCAGACAGCCAGGAUGUUGGCUUAGAAGCAGCCAUCAUUUAAAGAAAGCGUAAUAGCUCACUGGUCGAGUCGGCCUGCGCGGAAGAUGUAACGGGGCUAAACCAUGCACCGAAGCUGCGGCAGCGACGCUUAUGCGUUGUUGGGUAGGGGAGCGUUCUGUAAGCCUGUGAAGGUGUGCUGUGAGGCAUGCUGGAGGUAUCAGAAGUGCGAAUGCUGACAUAAGUAACGAUAAAGCGGGUGAAAAGCCCGCUCGCCGGAAGACCAAGGGUUCCUGUCCAACGUUAAUCGGGGCAGGGUGAGUCGACCCCUAAGGCGAGGCCGAAAGGCGUAGUCGAUGGGAAACAGGUUAAUAUUCCUGUACUUGGUGUUACUGCGAAGGGGGGACGGAGAAGGCUAUGUUGGCCGGGCGACGGUUGUCCCGGUUUAAGCGUGUAGGCUGGUUUUCCAGGCAAAUCCGGAAAACCAAGGCUGAGGCGUGAUGACGAGGCACUACGGUGCUGAAGCAACAAAUGCCCUGCUUCCAGGAAAAGCCUCUAAGCAUCAGGUAACAUCAAAUCGUACCCCAAACCGACACAGGUGGUCAGGUAGAGAAUACCAAGGCGCUUGAGAGAACUCGGGUGAAGGAACUAGGCAAAAUGGUGCCGUAACUUCGGGAGAAGGCACGCUGAUAUGUAGGUGAAGCGACUUGCUCGUGGAGCUGAAAUCAGUCGAAGAUACCAGCUGGCUGCAACUGUUUAUUAAAAACACAGCACUGUGCAAACACGAAAGUGGACGUAUACGGUGUGACGCCUGCCCGGUGCCGGAAGGUUAAUUGAUGGGGUUAGCGGUAACGCGAAGCUCUUGAUCGAAGCCCCGGUAAACGGCGGCCGUAACUAUAACGGUCCUAAGGUAGCGAAAUUCCUUGUCGGGUAAGUUCCGACCUGCACGAAUGGCGUAAUGAUGGCCAGGCUGUCUCCACCCGAGACUCAGUGAAAUUGAACUCGCUGUGAAGAUGCAGUGUACCCGCGGCAAGACGGAAAGACCCCGUGAACCUUUACUAUAGCUUGACACUGAACAUUGAGCCUUGAUGUGUAGGAUAGGUGGGAGGCUUUGAAGUGUGGACGCCAGUCUGCAUGGAGCCGACCUUGAAAUACCACCCUUUAAUGUUUGAUGUUCUAACGUGGGCCCCUAAUCGGGGUUGCGGACAGUGUCUGGUGGGUAGUUUGACUGGGGCGGUCUCCUCCUAAAGAGUAACGGAGGAGCACGAAGGUUGGCUAAUCCUGGUCGGACAUCAGGAGGUUAGUGCAAUGGCAUAAGCCAGCUUGACUGCGAGCGUGACGGCGCGAGCAGGUGCGAAAGCAGGUCAUAGUGAUCCGGUGGUUCUGAAUGGAAGGGCCAUCGCUCAACGGAUAAAAGGUACUCCGGGGAUAACAGGCUGAUACCGCCCAAGAGUUCAUAUCGACGGCGGUGUUUGGCACCUCGAUGUCGGCUCAUCACAUCCUGGGGCUGAAGUAGGUCCCAAGGGUAUGGCUGUUCGCCAUUUAAAGUGGUACGCGAGCUGGGUUUAGAACGUCGUGAGACAGUUCGGUCCCUAUCUGCCGUGGGCGCUGGAGAACUGAGGGGGGCUGCUCCUAGUACGAGAGGACCGGAGUGGACGCAUCACUGGUGUUCGGGUUGUCAUGCCAAUGGCACUGCCCGGUAGCUAAAUGCGGAAGAGAUAAGUGCUGAAAGCAUCUAAGCACGAAACUUGCCCCGAGAUGAGUUCUCCCUGAGACUUAGAGUCUCCUGAAGGAACGUUGAAGACGACGACGUUGAUAGGCCGGGUGUGUAAGCGCAGCGAUGCGUUGAGCUAACCGGUACUAAUGAACCGUGAGGCUUAACCUUACAACGCCGAAG